AGAUUGAACGCUGGCGGCAGGCCUAACACAUGCAAGUCGAGCGGUAGAGAGGUGCUUGCAUCUCUUGAGAGCGGCGGACGGGUGAGUAAUGCCUAGGAAUCUGCCUAGUGGUGGGGGAUAACGUUCGGAAACGGACGCUAAUACCGCAUACGUCCUACGGGAGAAAGCGGGGGACCUUCGGGCCUCGCGCCAUUAGAUGAGCCUAGGUCGGAUUAGCUAGUUGGUGAGGUAAUGGCUCACCAAGGCGACGAUCCGUAACUGGUCUGAGAGGAUGAUCAGUCACACGUGGAACUGAGACACGGUCCAGACCUCCGUACGGGAGCAGCAGGUGGGAAUAGUUGGACAAGUGGGAC
Molecule: ribosomal RNA, 353 nt
Filed under: uncultured soil bacterium
Lineage: Bacteria
Description: bacterial SSU rRNA
Rfam family: Bacterial small subunit ribosomal RNA
Source: RNAcentral